Molecule: ribosomal RNA, 225 nt
Filed under: uncultured bacterium
Lineage: Bacteria
Description: partial 16S ribosomal RNA
Rfam family: Bacterial small subunit ribosomal RNA
Source: RNAcentral
GAUCAUGGCUCAGGAUGAACGCUAGCUACAGGCUUAACACAUGCAAGUCGAGGGGCAGCAUGGUNUUAGCUUGCUAAGGCCGAUGGCGACCGGCGCACGGGUGAGUAACACGUAUCCAACCUGCCGUCUACUCUUGGACAGCCUUCUGAAGGGAAGAUUAAUACAAGAUGGCAUCAUGAGUCCGCAUGUUCACAUGAUUAAAGGUAUUCCGGUAGACGAUGGGGA